This is a long non-coding RNA of Cicer arietinum (chickpea), 447 nucleotides long. RefSeq lists it as uncharacterized. The record is from RefSeq and is a predicted model, not a curated record. Lineage: Eukaryota; Viridiplantae; Streptophyta; Magnoliopsida; Fabales; Fabaceae.
UCUAUUUUCAAUAAUAUUUUUUUAUUCUUAUUUUAUAUAUUACAGCUCUGAAAUGUAUGUCACACAUGGAUUGUGAAUAUUGCAAAGAUGGAGUUUGCAUAGAUGGUUAUUGUAGGUGCUUGAUAAGUGCUUAUAGUACAAAUAAAGGUUAAAUUGAACAUGAUCACGACAAGCAAGCGAUGGAGCUUUUCUUGUGGAACUAAAGUACUAGAGACUAGUACUUCACUUUAUUUUAAGAUUUUUUUUACUAUCGUUGAUUUUCUGGUAUGGGUAGAGAUCUUUGAUAUUCAAUAGUAUCUUUUAAAUCAGCUACUCGAUUUAAUAAUUGUUUGUAUUGUUCAAGUUUUAGUGUUUACACUUGUUUUAUUUUUUAGUUUUCAAAGUUAUGAGUUAUAAAAUUAUUGUUAUUAUCUAUAAAAAUAAUAUCAUGUUUUUGAAAUGUGCAAA